Molecule: microRNA, 21 nt
Filed under: Citrus sinensis (sweet orange)
Lineage: Eukaryota; Viridiplantae; Streptophyta; Magnoliopsida; Sapindales; Rutaceae
Also listed under: 9 other names
Description: csi-miR171f-5p
Gene: csi-miR171f-5p
Source: miRBase by way of RNAcentral
UAUUGGCCUGGUUCACUCAGA